Molecule: ribosomal RNA, 362 nt
Filed under: Allotamlana fucoidanivorans
Lineage: Bacteria; Pseudomonadati; Bacteroidota; Flavobacteriia; Flavobacteriales; Flavobacteriaceae
Description: Tamlana sp. CW2-9 partial 23S ribosomal RNA
Rfam family: Bacterial large subunit ribosomal RNA
Source: RNAcentral
AAGUAGUUUAAGUUGUGUGCAAGUGGUAGGAGAGCGUUCUAUUUGCGUCGAAGGUAUACCGGUAAGGAGUGCUGGAGCGAAUAGAAGUGAGCAUGCAGGCAUGAGUAGCGAUAAUUAAUGUGAGAAUCAUUAACGCCGUAAACCCAAGGUUUCCUACGCGAUGCUCGUCAUCGUAGGGUUAGUCGGGUCCUAAGUCGAGUCCGAAAGGGGUAGACGAUGGCAAAUUGGUUAAUAUUCCAAUACCAACAUUAGUGUGCGAUGGAAGGACGCUUAGGGCUAAGGGGGCUAGCGGAUGGAAGUGCUAGUCUAAGGUCGUAGGAGGUUAUACAGGCAAAUCCGUAUAACAAUACUCCGAGAACUGA